GUCAGUGUUUAAUCAAAAAUGUUAAAGAAAUGAAUGAAAUAAUAAUUUUAAAAAAUUGGUUGAUCAAUUUAGUUUAAUACAGGUUCUCAUAUUCAUGGCUUUAUUUUCCUGUAAGGUGACAAGUGAUAAUCUCAAAGUUUUCUGGAUUUCUUAUCAUUCUUAUAUGAUUACUUGCUCUUUUUUUUCCUACUGUGGGUUUUAGUCCAUCAUCCAGAUGGUGGUGGUUGAGGAGAUUCCCUCGCCCCCAUACAAUGAAUAGCGCUUUGAUUUUACAGGCUUGGUUGGUUUCAAAGGAUUUUACGAGGACGAGCUCGUGGCUCAUUGUUACUGUUACAUUUAUUUUUUCUUUCAGGUGGUAGGUUUGAGCUAUAUGGCGGUAGGUUGGCGGUAUAUGGCGGUAUAUGGCGGCAGGUAGAGUUCGACGUCGAUGAAGGUCUUCUUCGCUUAGCCUCUACGGUUUGUGGCUCCUUGCUUCCUUUAAAUUUAUUAUUUUUUUCUUUCAGGUGGCAGGUGGAGUUAGACGGCAGUAGGGAACCAUAGAGAAAGCCAGAUGGCGCAAAAUUCAGGAAAUUUUUUUUACAAAAUAUAGUUAUUUCUAUUUGCUCUUGUACAUAAAGUUGAAAGAACAAAGCUAUAUAAAAUAAAGCUCAAGCUGACAGGUUUUCUUUUGGGUUGCACCAUGUAUUCAUUCAUCAGUAUCUUCACAAAUAAACCCAGUCACUACACAUUAAGACGGUGAUUAAACCUCAUUCUUUUGUCUUUACAAAUAGAGAUAUUUACAUGGAUGGGCGGCCAUUCAGAGUGAUCAUUCUGUAAUAUCUUUCUUUUGUCUCUAUAGAUAAAGAGAUAGUUGCAUUGCUGGGCGAACAUUAUCACCUGAUUUUGUGAGAAAUGACAUUUGCAGGAAACACCCACUUUUUGCAAACGUCUGCUGUAAUUGCUAACAUUUAAACAUUCAGCCUACAAUAAAUAAUAAGUCUAUUCAAUGAAAGUAAAGGUCAGUGUUUAAUCAAAAAUGUUAAAGAAAUGAAUGAAAUAAUAAUUUAAAAAAAUUGGUUGAUCAAUUUAGUUUAAUACAGGUUCUCAUAUUCAUGGCUUUAUUUUCCUGUAAGGUGACAAGUGAUAAUCUCAAAGUUUUCUGGAUUUCUUAUCAUUCUUAUAUGAUUACUUGCUCUUUUUUUCCUACUGUGGGUUUUAGUCCAUCAUCCAGAUGGUGGUGGUUGAGGAGAUUCCCUCGCCCCCAUACAAUGAAUAGCGCUUUGAUUUUACAGGCUUGGUUGGUUUCCAAGGAUUUUACGAGGACGAGCUCGUGGCUCAUUGUUACUGUUACAUUUAUUUUUUCUUUCAGGUGGUAGGUUUGAGCUAUAUGGCGGUAGGUUGGCGGUAUAUGGCAGUAUAUGGCGGCAGGUAGAGUUCGACGUCGAUUAAGGUCUUCUUCGCUUAGCCUCUACGGUUUGUGGCUCCUUGCUUCCUUUAAAUUUAUUAUUUUUUUCUUUCAGGUGGCAGGUGGAGUUAGACGGCAGUAGGGAACCAUAGAGAAAGCCAG
Molecule: long non-coding RNA, 1546 nt
Organism: Ictalurus punctatus (channel catfish)
Lineage: Eukaryota; Metazoa; Chordata; Actinopteri; Siluriformes; Ictaluridae
Source: Ensembl